Molecule: long non-coding RNA, 497 nt
Filed under: Homo sapiens (human)
Lineage: Eukaryota; Metazoa; Chordata; Mammalia; Primates; Hominidae
Description: HSALNT0140850
Source: RNAcentral
GCCUGGGAUGGCAUUUUGCCACCCUCGUUCAGCUGCUAGACACUGGAGGGGAUGUUUCUGAGACACCCUGUCCUGACUCUCUGUGUGGCUGUUGAGAGAUGAGGCCUGGGGGAACUGCAGAGGGCGGACAGAGUGUGUUUUCUUCCGGUCUUGGCAUCUUGGAGUCAUUCCUGUCCCGCUGCGUCACCCCACACAAGCCUGAGUGACCUUCGAGAAAGUAACCUCGAUCCUUUGCCCUGAGAGCCUUGGCUGGGGCAUCUGGAGGCACCCCCACCUCCCAUGGCUGGGCAUCAUGAGAGGAGAAAAACCUGCCGGAUGGGGCACUAACUGGCCCCAGGGAGCACAGGGCACUUCCAGCUUUCCUUCAGCAUUCUGCCCUCUGCAUCUUCUUUCAGGGGGCUCCUGGAAUGUUGGCAAGCACAAAAAGGCACGGCUUCAAGCCCAUCAUUCCCUGGCUGAAAGACCUCGGGCCAGUGCCUUCCACUCUCUGAGCCUCA